UUUAGUUUUAGCUUAAACAAGAAAAAGUUGAAAGGUGGUGGAGGGUCAUCAUUAAACAUUGAGGUAUUAGUACGUAUUCAAGAUGAUGAUAAUCAUAACACAAGGGAACCACUAAUAAAUAAUUUAGUUGAAAGCACCAUAAUAAUACUCCUAAAACUCACCCCGCCAUUCACAAGAUCUCCACCAUCGCCCCUUCUUUCCUAUUUCGUUACUAUCCUCAAAUCCGGUUCUCUCCAACCCGGAAGUCCGACCCGUAUUGGAACUUGGCAUUGUGGUGGGCGAAUUCUUGUUUAAUUCGUAACCGAUUUAAAUAGAUGUUGUUCUCAUUUCGAAAUUGAGAGUUGUAGUCAUCUAUUAUGGACUCGAUUUGGGCGAACAGUGCUAGCCCUAGUGCUUCUCAUUUGCUCUAUGCCAUCUAUUUCGCUUUUGGUUUCGUCCUUGUCAGAUUAUUCCUUGACAGAUUCAUCUUUCGUCGGGGAGAUUGACGAUGAUGUCACACAUCGUAUUGGGGCAGGGUGGAUGAAAUGGAGGCUUGCUUCCGGAGUGCUAUGUGACAAGAAGGUGCCACCACAACUUAAGGGAAAGUUCUACAAUAAUAAUACUCCUAAAACUCACCCCGCCAUUCACAAGAUCUCCACCAUCGCCCCUUCUUUCCUAUUUCGUUACUAUCCUCAAAUCCGGUUCUCUCCAACCCGGAAGUCCGACCCGUAUUGGAACUUGGCAUUGUGGUGGGCGAAUUCUUGUUUAAUUCGUAACCGAUUUAGAUAGAUGUUGUUCUCAUUUCGAAAUUGAGAGUUGUAGUCAUCUAUUAUGGACUCGAUUUGGGCGAACAGUGCUAGCCCUAGUGCUUCUCAUUUGCUCUAUGCCAUCUAUUUCGCUUUUGGUUUCGUCCUUGUCAGAUUAUUCCUUGACAGAUUCAUCUUUCGUGUAAGCUUUCUUUUUUUCUUGACAACUUCUUGUGGUGAUAACUGAUGUUUAUUUUUGGUUUGGAAAAUGUACCUCUUUAAAUGCUUCUAGCGAGCCUUGUUUUAUUGGCUCUUUAAUUAUUUAAUUUGAGUGUUGUGUACUCAAUCUUGGUUUGACUCGUGUAAUGAAAACAUGGGUCAAGAUUCUCAUUAACUACUGUAUUGGAUUGCCUAAAAAGAGCUAAGGUAAAAUGGACGUCACAUACAUUCAACCAAGAAAAACGAAUGUCCCGUUCCCUUAAUCUCCUUAUAAUAGAUCCUAGAUUGUUGUUAAUUGAUUGAAUAACUUAAUAACAAUAUGGACAUGUAUUUAAUCUCCUGAUAUGUUUGUCUGGGCGAAGCUAUUUGUAGGACA
Molecule: long non-coding RNA, 1320 nt
Organism: Lycium barbarum (goji berry)
Lineage: Eukaryota; Viridiplantae; Streptophyta; Magnoliopsida; Solanales; Solanaceae
Exons: 2
Source: RefSeq, a predicted model, not a curated record